ACGGGUGAGUAACACGUGGGAACGUACCCUUUGGUUCGGAAUAACGCUGGGAAACUAGCGCUAAUACCGGAUACGCCCUUUUGGGGAAAGGCUUGCUGCCGAAGGAUCGGCCCGCGUCUGAUUAGCUAGUUGGUGGGGUAAUGGCCUACCAAGGCGACGAUCAGUAGCUGGUCUGAGAGGAUGAUCAGCCACACUGGGACUGAGACACGGCCCAGACUCCUACGGGAGGCAGCAGUGGGGAAUAUUGGACAAUGGGCGCAAGCCUGAUCCAGCCAUGCCGCGUGAGUGAUGAAGGCCUUAGGGUUGUAGAGCUCUUUUGUCCGGGACGAUAAUGACGGUACCGGAAGAAUAAGCCCCGGCUAACUUCGUGCCAGCAGCCGCGGUAAUACGAAGGGGGCUAGCGUUGCUCGGAAUCACUGGGCGUAAAGGGCGCGUAGGCGGCCAUUCAAGUCGGGGGUGAAAGCCUGUGGCUCAACCACAGAAUUGCCUUCGAUACUGUUUGGCUUGAGUAUGGUAGAGGUCGGUGGAACUGCGAGUGUAGAGGUGAAAUUCGUAGA
This 557-nucleotide ribosomal RNA is filed under the name uncultured Methylobacterium sp. RNAcentral's name for it is "bacterial SSU rRNA". It matches the Rfam family "Bacterial small subunit ribosomal RNA", at positions 102 to 694 of the family's 1533-position model. The record is from RNAcentral. Lineage: Bacteria; Pseudomonadati; Pseudomonadota; Alphaproteobacteria; Hyphomicrobiales; Methylobacteriaceae.